GACGAACGCUGGCGGCGUGCUUAACACAUGCAAGUCGAACGGAAAGGCCCUGCUUUUGUGGGGUGCUCGAGUGGCGAACGGGUGAGUAACACGUGAGUAACCUGCCCUUGACUUUGGGAUAACUUCAGGAAACUGGGGCUAAUACCGGAUAGGAGCUCCUGCUGCAUGGUGGGGGUUGGAAAGUUUCGGCGGUUGGGGAUGGACUCGCGGCUUAUCAGCUUGUUGGUGGGGUAGUGGCUGACCAAGGCUUUGACGGGUAGCCGGCCUGAGAGGGUGGACGGCCACAUUGGGACUGAGAUACGGCCCAGACUCCUAUGGGAGGCAGCAGGGGGGAAUAUUGCACAAUGGGCGGAAGCCUGAUGCAGCAACGCCGCGUGCGGGAUGACGGCCUUCGGGUUGUAAACCGCUUUCGCCUGUGACGAAGCGUGUGUGACGGUAAUGGGUAAAGAAGCACCGGCUAACUACGUG
This 468-nucleotide ribosomal RNA is filed under the name uncultured bacterium. RNAcentral describes it as "partial 16S ribosomal RNA". It matches the Rfam family "Bacterial small subunit ribosomal RNA", at positions 28 to 507 of the family's 1533-position model. The record is from RNAcentral.